UACGGGAGGCAGCAGUGAGGAAUAUUGGUCAAUGGGCGCUAGCCUGAACCAGCCAAGUAGCGUGAAGGAUGACUGCCCUAUGGGUUGUAAACUUCUUUUAUAAGGGAAUAAAACGGGGAACGUGUUCCCCCUUGCAUGUACCUUACGAAUAAGGAUCGGCUAACUCCGUGCCAGCAGCCGCGGUAAUACGGAGGAUCCGAGCGUUAUCCGGAUUUAUUGGGUUAAAGGGUGCGUAGGCGGAAUGAUCAGUCAGUUGUGAAAGUUUGAGGCUCAACCUUAAAAUUGCAUUUGAUACUGUCAUUCUUGAGUGUAUAAGAGGUGGGCGGAAUUCGUGGUGUAGCGGUGAAAUGCUUAGAUAUCACGAAGAACUCCGAUUGCGAAGGCAGCUCACUGGGGUACAACUGACGCUGAGGCACGAAAGUGUGGGUAUCAAACAGGAUUAGAUACCCUGGUAGUCCACACAGUAAACGAUGAAUACUCGCUGUUUGCGAUAUACGGUAAGCGGCUAAGCGAAGCGUUAAGUAUUCCACCUGGGGAGUACGCCGGCAACGGUGAAACUCAAAGGAAUUGACGG
RNAcentral lists this ribosomal RNA (574 nucleotides) under uncultured bacterium. RNAcentral describes it as "bacterial SSU rRNA". It matches the Rfam family "Bacterial small subunit ribosomal RNA", at positions 340 to 916 of the family's 1533-position model. The record is from RNAcentral.